Molecule: ribosomal RNA, 253 nt
Filed under: uncultured bacterium
Lineage: Bacteria
Description: partial 16S ribosomal RNA
Rfam family: Bacterial small subunit ribosomal RNA
Source: RNAcentral
UACGUAGGGCGCAAGCGUUGUCCGGAAUCAUUGGGCGUAAAGAGCUCGUAGGCGGCCUGUCGCGUCCGCUGUGAAAUCCCGGGGCUUAACCCCGGGCGUGCAGUGGAUACGGGCUGGCUGGAGGCAGGCAGGGGAGGACGGAAUUCCCGGUGUAGCGGUGAAAUGCGCAGAUAUCGGGAAGAACACCCGUGGCGAAGGCGGUUCUCUGGGACGGUACUGACGCUGAGACGCGAAAGCGUGGGGAGCGAACAGG